GCCCGAGUAGCCCAGCGGAAGAGGCAAACGACUUAAAAUCGUUCAAGCGCGGGUUCAAAUCCCGCCUCGGGUA
RNAcentral lists this transfer RNA (73 nucleotides) under bacterium. RNAcentral describes it as "tRNA-Leu". It matches the Rfam family "tRNA". Rfam says of the family: Transfer RNA (tRNA) molecules are approximately 80 nucleotides in length. Their secondary structure includes four short double-helical elements and three loops (D, anti-codon, and T loops). The record is from RNAcentral.